GAUGAACGCUAGCUACAGGCUUAACACAUGCAAGUCGAGGGGCAGCAUUUCAGUUUGCUUGCAAACUGGAGAUGGCGACCGGCGCACGGGUGAGUAACACGUAUCCAACCUGCCGAUAACUCGGGGAUAGCCUUUCGAAAGAAAGAUUAAUACCCGAUGGUAUAAUCAGACCGCAUGGUCUUGUUAUUAAAGAAUUUCGGUUAUCGAUGGGGAUGCGUUCCAUUAGGCAGUUGGUGAGGUAACGGCUCACCAAACCUUCGAUGGAUAGGGGUUCUGAGAGGAAGGUCCCCCACAUUGGAACUGAGACACGGUCCAAACUCCUACGGGAGGCAGCAGUGAGGAAUAUUGGUCAAUGGGCGCAGGCCUGAACCAGCCAAGUAGCGUGAAGGAUGACUGCCCUAUGGGUUGUAAACUUCUUUUAUAUGGGAAUAAAGUUUUCCACGUGUGG
RNAcentral lists this ribosomal RNA (448 nucleotides) under uncultured bacterium. Its description in RNAcentral is "bacterial SSU rRNA". It matches the Rfam family "Bacterial small subunit ribosomal RNA", at positions 28 to 465 of the family's 1533-position model. The record is from RNAcentral.